This 1306-nucleotide ribosomal RNA is filed under the name metagenome. Its description in RNAcentral is "bacterial LSU rRNA". It matches the Rfam family "Bacterial large subunit ribosomal RNA", at positions 1576 to 2910 of the family's 2925-position model. The record is from RNAcentral.
CCUUCGGGCAGCGAGAUAGUGAUCCUAAACCAGCUCGCGAGAAAAACCUCUAAGGUUAGGCUAAAUCAACCCGUACCGUAAACCGACACAGGUAGUCGAGAUGAGUAUUCUAAGGCGCUCGGGUGAGCCACGGAGAAGGAACUAGGCAAAUUAAUGCUGUAACUUCGGGAUAAAGCAUACCGCAGUGAUGCGGUCUCAGUAAAUUGGUUCAACCAACUGUUUAGCAAAAACACAGAGCCCUGCAAAAUCGAAAGAUGACGUAUAGAGCCUGAUACCUGCCCGGUGCUGGAAGGUUAAGGAAGCUUGUCAGGAGUUAAAUAUGAAGCUUGCGACUGAAGCCCCAGUAAACGGCGGCCGUAACGAUAACGGUCCUAAGGUAGCGAAAUUCCUUGUCGGGUAAGUUCCGACCUGCACGAAUGGUCUAAUGAGUUGAACACUGUCUCCUCCGUGAGCCCGGUGAAAUUGUAGUAUCGGUGAAGAUGCCGGUUACCCGCCACGGGACGAAAAGACCCCGUGAACCUUCACUACAACUUUACAUUGAUUUUGAGUAACAGAUGUGUAGCAUAGUUGGGAGACUUUGAAGCAGUGGCGCCAGCCAUUGUGGAGUCACCGUUGAAAUACCAACCUUCUGUUGCUUAGAGUCUAAUCCAGAAAUGGAGACAUUGUAUGGUGGGUAGUUUGACUUGGGUGGUCGCCUCCUAAAGCGUAACGGAGGCUCGCAAAGGUACCCUCAGUACGGUUGGUAAUCGUACGUAGAGCGCAUUAGUAAAAGGGUGCUUGACUGUGAGGCUGACCAGCCGAGCAGGUGCGAAAGCAGGCUAAAGUGAUCCGGUGGUUCUGUAUGGAAGGGCCAUCGCUCAAAGGAUAAAAGGUACUCCCGGGAUAACAGGCUGAUCUCCCCCAAGAGCUCAUAUCGACGGGGAGGUUUGGCACCUCGAUGUCGGUUCGUCACAUCCUGGGGCUGGAGAAGGUCCCAAGGGUUGGGCUGUUCGCCCAUUAAAGUGGCACGUGAACUGGGUUCAGAACGUCGCAAGACAGUUCGGUCUCUAUCUGUGGUGGGCGUUAGUAAAUUGAGAGGACAUGCUCUUAGUACGAGAGGACCGGAGCGUAUGUGCCGCUGGUGUAUCGGUUGUGCCGCCAGGUGCAGUGCCGAGUAGCUAUGCACAGUCAGGAUAAGCGCUGAAAGCAUCUAAGCGCGAAACCUUCCUCAAGAUGAGUUUACUUUUAAGGGCCGUCGAAGACUACGACGUUGAUAGGCUAUAGGUGUAAAGGUGGUAACAUCAAAGCCGAGUAGUACUAAUUGCCC